RNAcentral lists this ribosomal RNA (323 nucleotides) under uncultured eukaryote. RNAcentral describes it as "partial 18S ribosomal RNA". It matches the Rfam family "Eukaryotic small subunit ribosomal RNA", at positions 1470 to 1796 of the family's 1831-position model. The record is from RNAcentral.
CCCUUAGAUGUUCUGGGCCGCACGCGCGCUACACUGAUGCAUGCAACGAGUUCUAUCCUUGGCCGGAAGGCCUGGGUAAUCUGUGAACGUGCAUCGUGAUAGGGAUAGAUUAUUGCAAUUAUUAAUCUUGAACGAGGAAUUCCUAGUAAACGCAAGUCAUCAGCUUGCAUUGAUUACGUCCCUGCCCUUUGUACACACCGCCCGUCGCACCUACCGAUCGAAGGUAAUGAUGAGCCCUCAGGAUUGUGGCCUCGUCGCGUCAGCGUCUUGGCUGCGAGAAUCUGUGCAAAUCCCUACCUUUAGAGGAAGGUGAANUCGUAGCA